UCGGGCUUUUUCAACUCGUAUCCACCCUAUGUGAACUGUAUAUUUUGUGAUUGGGCUUGGUAGGUUUUGUCCCUUCUGGCUGAAAUCGUUUCUGGGCUUAAACUUUAAGCCUGAGAUGACGAAGGCUGGAAUCGAUAAAGGCCGCCGCUUCCAAGAACAAGCCUGUAUUUAUAAAUUGUCGGCUGAAUUGUAAAGAUUUAUAAUCAAUACAACUUUCAACAACGGAUCUCUUGGCUCCUGCAACGAUGAAGAGCGCAGCGAAAUGCGAUACGUAGUGUGAAUUGCAGAUUUACGUGAAUCAUCGAAUCCUCGAACGCACAUUGCACUUCCGGGUAUUCCUGGGAGUAUGCCUGUUUCAGUAUCAGUGAUCACCUCAAACCAGCCUGGUUUGGAAUUGAGCCUUCACCACAGCCUUGAGCUGUGAGGCUUCAAACACAGAUAAAAGUCAGCCUUAACUGAUACAACCGAAGCUGGAUAGGUGCCAAUUUUUGGCAUUUCUUUGAAAGCACCCGUGUUGUCAAGGCUAUUGAGGCUUUUUUCACUUAACCAUCGGGUUGAUAGCCCGCCCAAAACUUGAUCUGAAAUCAGGCAAGAUGACCCCCUGAACUUAAGCAUAUCAUUAAGGGGAGGAAAAGAAACUAACAAGGAUUCCCUCAGUAACGGCGAGUGAAGCGGGAAUAGCUCAAUUUUGAAAUCUCUGAGGAUUCUCCUCGGCGAAUUGUAGUUUAGAGAGGCGUUUUCGGCUUGCAGCUCGGGUAUAAGUUCUUUGGG
RNAcentral lists this ribosomal RNA (771 nucleotides) under uncultured fungus. Its description in RNAcentral is "eukaryotic LSU rRNA". The stretch from base 211 to 364 matches the Rfam family "5.8S ribosomal RNA". Lineage: Eukaryota; Fungi. The record is from RNAcentral.